Molecule: long non-coding RNA, 367 nt
Organism: Musca domestica (house fly)
Lineage: Eukaryota; Metazoa; Arthropoda; Insecta; Diptera; Muscidae
Exons: 2
Source: RefSeq, a predicted model, not a curated record
AAAGUGAUGUGGAACAGAAACAGUUCAGUCAAUUUUUAAAUGUUUUUUUUUUGUGAAUAGAAAAAGGAAAUACUAAAUUGGCAGUUACAAUUUGUGUGUUUUAUUGUUUUAUUUGUGUGGCGUAUCUAAACAAUUUGAAUAACGCCGCGCAUAAAUCCACAAUUGGACAACGCCAUCCGACUGGGACGACAAAGAAGCGGGCAUCCCCAACAAUUAUUUUUGUAUCGCCAGGUGCGGCACAGGGGUUCCAGGCAACGAAAAGGUUCUGGAAACGGCCAAAAGACCUGGGAAACUGCCAGUGGAUAACCCUUGGAACAGGCAACAGUACCAAUCCGGGAAGCUAACCAGUAGAUCCCACCUAAAAAUC